UCUUUAAAGCUUGUCAACACUACGCACUUUGCACCAUGCGGAUUCUCUCCAAAGGGGGAGAGUAUCUUGAUUCCCAACCUUGGGUGACUGGUCCCGCGCGAGAAAGCUUAGUAAGAAUCAAAAAAAUAAUAAUAAACAAACUAUUAUAAAUAAUAAGAAGAAGAAUAAUAAUGAGAGCAGGCAGGGGGGGAAGCGCGACGAAGUGACGGGCGUGGGGAAAAGGAGAGCUACGACUGUGCGAGGGUGCGAGGUGCUACUUCGAGGUGUUGACAAGAGCUGGAUAUGGAGUUGACGGGCAGUGGGGACUGCCAGAGUCCUUUUUGUCUGUUUUGCCUCCAGCUUCGAACAUGGUAGCGAUCUUGCCCUCCUGUCACAGGCUGUUCCUUACUUUUUCCAGUGUGGGGAGCUGGCUUUCGGGGGGCGAAGGCUGUGGGGGUGGUGUCACUGUGCAAACGCAAAGCAGAGGCGGAGGUGGGGACCCCCCUAGGGGGAAGUGGUGGAAUGCAUGUGAGCUGACAUGUGGAAGAGGCGAAUCCUGCACUGCGAGACGACGACGACGACGAUGAUGCCCCGCUUGAUGCAUCCAUGCGUCGCCUGCU
This 599-nucleotide long non-coding RNA is filed under the name Physcomitrium patens. RNAcentral's name for it is "long non-coding RNA (PPAT_LNC003313)". The record is from RNAcentral. Lineage: Eukaryota; Viridiplantae; Streptophyta; Bryopsida; Funariales; Funariaceae.